GUCGUUACAAGGUCUCGUAGGUGAACCAGCGGAUGGAUCAUUACAGAGUGUAAAAAGUCGUCAACAACAUGCCACCUGUCUUGCCCGAACUUAUGUUGCCUAAGGCGGGCCCCGCGCCCGCCGACGGCCCCCWUGAACGCUGUGUGAAGUUGCAGUCUGAGACCUAUAACGAAAUUAGUUAAAACUUUCAACAACGGAUCUYUUGGUUCCGGCAUCGAUGAAGAACGCAGCGAAAUGCGAUAACUAAUGUGAAUUGCAGAAUUCAGUGAAUCAUCGAGUCUUUGAACGCACAUUGCGCCCUAUGGUAUUCCGGAGGGCAUGCCUGUCCGAGCGUCAUUGCUGCCCUCAAGCCCGGUUUGUGUGUUGGGCCCCGUCCCCCCCGCCGGGGGGACGGGCCCGAAAGGCAGCGGCGGCACCGCGUCCGGUCCUCGAGCGUAUGGGGCUUCGUCACCCGCUCUAGUAGGCCCGGCCGGCGCCAGCCGACCCCCAACCUUUAAUUAUCUACAGGUGACCCUCGAUC
Molecule: ribosomal RNA, 520 nt
Filed under: fungal sp. F488
Lineage: Eukaryota; Fungi
Description: eukaryotic LSU rRNA
Rfam family: 5.8S ribosomal RNA (bases 183-336)
Source: RNAcentral